Molecule: long non-coding RNA, 372 nt
Filed under: Homo sapiens (human)
Lineage: Eukaryota; Metazoa; Chordata; Mammalia; Primates; Hominidae
Description: non-protein coding lnc-WDR44-2:2
Source: RNAcentral
CGAGUGAUAUGGUAUUAUUAAAAAAAAAAAGAUCACAGGUUCUAGAGUCAGGUAAACUUGGAUUUGCUUCCUUCCCGUUAGCACAUUCCUUGGGCAAGUUAUUUAUCCUACAUUACUACUACUUCCUUAUCUGUAAUAUGGGAAUACCUAACUUAAAUUGCAAAGAUUUGCUAAGAAAUCAUGUAUGUGUAAAGCUUGGUGCCUAACCAGUAGGUAUACUCAACAGAUGUACAUUUCUUGCUGCCUCUCGCAAAUCCGUGAGUACUCUCUCAGACCAAAAAAAAAAAAAAAGACGAUAUAUGGAAACGCUUUCUUUUUGAGAUGGAAUUUUGCUCUUGUUGCCCAGGCUGGGGUGUAAUGGCACGAUCUCGG